Parus major (Great Tit) is the source of this 908-nucleotide long non-coding RNA. RefSeq lists it as uncharacterized. The record is from RefSeq and is a predicted model, not a curated record. The transcript has 4 exons. NCBI's taxonomy places the organism in Eukaryota, Metazoa, Chordata, Aves, Passeriformes, Paridae.
UGUCUCUCUCGGUUCUCCUGACAGGCGUGGUGGAGAGGCUGCGGAGGGAGGCACCGGGGCUUUGCCCCUGGGCCUGGCUCAGCUGGGGCUGGAACAGCCCCCUCAGGGCUUCUUGGGGAUAAAUUUGUAGCCAAAACUCAACUUGUGCUGGGCAGGCAGGUCCCAAGCACACUGCCAGCUGCUCUGGCUCCCCUGCCAGCUGUGCCCAGCUCUGCUGGAUCCUGCAGGAACCUGGGGAGCCCCUGGAGCUGUGCUUGGGCACCGAUGGAAAGAUCCCUUUGCACAGGGCCCUUCUGAAGACAUAACCCUGCUGAAAGGAACAGAUGCAUUCCCUUAGGAAGUGAUCCAGCCCCAAACUGUGUCUGACGAGCUGCUCACCAAGGCCUGCCUUCAUCUGCUUGGAGCCUGAUGAAUAUUCCUACAGCUCCUCCGAGGGAAGGGGAGAACAAGGAAAUACGGGCUAAAAGUGUAGAUCCCUGCUAGUGAGUUUGUUUCUACAUGACAAAACAUAACAGGAGACAUGCCUGAAUAACAGCAGUGAGUGUUGGAGAGGGUGUAUUUUUGAUCUCCUGUAUUUUCCUUUAGGCAGAAUGUUUUAUUCCUUCCUGAAUUUGUAGUGGUUCUGAUGAUUUACUUGCACAUAAUCUUGGCUUUUUUUUUUUUUUUGCCUUUCCUAUUUGAGAAUUAGUGGCUCUAAUGAAAUUACAGCUGAACUUGUAAUAGUUAAGCAGAUCCCUCAGCUGUUUCAUGAUGCAGAGGUGCUCCAAGAUGCUGACUUUCCAUGUAGCUUUAGCUGACAUUGUAUGUAAGGCAAUUGUAAUGCAAUAGAGUUACCUGUCAGCAUAUAUUUGUAGGUGUGGAAAAUGCCACUCAGAGAACACAGAUCUCAUAUUCCCCGAAGCUUUUUC